UACGGAGGGGGCAAGCGUUGUUCGGAAUUAUUGGGCGUAAAGGGCGUGUAGGCGGCCGAUCAAGUCGGGUGUGAAAUCCCUCGGCUCAACCGAGGAAUUGCACUCGAUACUGGUUGGCUAGAGUCCGGGAGGGGGUGGCGGAAUUCCCAGUGUAGCGGUGAAAUGCGUAGAUAUUGGGAAGAACACCGGUAGCGAAGGCGGCCACCUGGACCGGAACUGACGCUGAGGCGCGAAAGCCAGGGGAGCGAAUGGG
This 253-nucleotide ribosomal RNA is filed under the name uncultured bacterium. RNAcentral describes it as "partial 16S ribosomal RNA". It matches the Rfam family "Bacterial small subunit ribosomal RNA", at positions 524 to 776 of the family's 1533-position model. The record is from RNAcentral.